GGAUGUGAGGGAGACUUGUCUUUGACAUCUGUCACUGCACCAUCACCAAUGUUGAUUUGGCUGAUCUGAUUGGCUAAGCCGGUGUCCCCUUUGCCCCUCAGAACUCCAUGUGUGUCCCUCCUGAGUGUCACCUUCACCCUUAACCAUUCCUUGUGUCCUUUUUAAAUCUGCAUGCUCAGAGGAAAGGACAGUCUUUCCCAAGUAAAGUCAGUCCAAGGCUGUAAUGUUGAAAUAAACUCUUAACUCUGUGUGAAGACUGGGGAGUGUCUUGCUGUUCUGUUU
RNAcentral lists this small RNA (282 nucleotides) under Sorex araneus (European shrew). Its description in RNAcentral is "7SK RNA (ENSSARG00000019699.1)". The stretch from base 1 to 220 matches the Rfam family "7SK RNA". Rfam says of the family: 7SK was discovered as an abundant small nuclear RNA in the mid-70s but a possible function has only recently been suggested. Two independent studies have found that 7SK RNA binds the CDK9/cyclin T complex (known as elongation factor P-TEFb). The record is from RNAcentral. Lineage: Eukaryota; Metazoa; Chordata; Mammalia; Eulipotyphla; Soricidae.